CAUAAAAACACAACAUAAUACUUGAAGCCCUCACUACUAACAUGCGCCGCCGUGCCUGGCGCACAAUAGAAAUGAGCCAUUCACAUCAUACUUUUACUAAUUCGCUUCCGCAGCUACCCUGCGUUGAAGUUGAACCCCCACUCCUUAAAUUAAAUGUCCCCAAAAUCCUAACAAUUAAAUAAAUGAACCCAAUUUCUGCCCACCCACCAUAUGUGCAAAUCCAAAAUGUCAGUCGACGCCACCCAGCCCAUCGCCACUCCUCGGCGCACCCCGCGCACCCCGCAAUUGGCUCAACCCACCGCCUCUUCCUUCGAGCCCUCAGCCUCCGACACCCUAAGCGGCCGCUACACUUCCACCUCAAGCUACAAGCUCUCCUCCCAGUCCCAAGCCUCCACCUCUUCAUCGUCAACCUCUCUCUCUACCCUCAAAGACUCCCUCCCCGUCCCCGAAAACCCAAUCCUCUACGACUACUCCGAGCUCUGCGCCGCCACCAACAACUUCCUCUCCAAGCGCUUCAACCCCACCCCCCCCUCCCCGCGUUAAGCUCUCCACCCCGGAGCUCAGGCAACGGCUCUCCACUCUCUGCCGCAGCCACCACACCUCCAUCACCAAGCUCCUCGGCGCCUGCGUCUCCAGCGACUACGCCUUCUUAGUCUACGAGUUCGUCAGCGGCGCCAGCCUGGCAGCCUGCCUCCGGAACCCGAACAACCCGAAUUACACGGUCCUGUCCACGUGGACCUUCCGGAUGCAGAUCGCCACGGAUCUCGCGCAGGGGCUGGACUACAUCCACAACAGCACGGGCCUCAACGUCAAUCUGGUCCACAACCACAUCAAAAGCGGCAGCGUUUUGGUCACCGAGCCCCAUUUCAACGCCCGCCUCUGCCAUUUCGGGGCGGCCCAGCUCUGCGGCGAGACCGAUUCGUACACCCAUCUCGACCCGAAUCCAAAAUCCCGAUCCGAAAUCGAGGUCGUCGAAGGCCCCGACCCGAAAUUGAACCGUACCAGCAGCCGGAAGAACCAGUUCGAAGGGGUGAGAGGGUACAUGUCGCCGGAGUUUCAGGCCUCCGGCGUCGCGACGCAGAAGUCUGACGUGUACGCAUUCGGCAUCGUGCUCUUGGAGCUCCUGUCGGGGCAAGAGCCUUUCAAGUACAGGUUUGAUAAAACGAUGGGUGAUUUUAUCAGAACCUCGGUGGUCGACUCGGCCCAGGCUGCGAUUCGGCAUGGUGGUCUGAGGACUUGGGUGGAUAGCAGGCUCAAGGAUUCGUUUCCCGUGGAAGUGGCUGAGAAGUUAACACGUUUGGCUCUGGAGUGCGUACACGUGGACCCGGAUCAACGGCCCAGCAUGGGACGCGUGUCGGGGAAAAUCUCCAAGCUAUAUUUGGAGUCGAAGUUUUGGUCCGACAACAUGAGAGUUCCUACCGGUAUUUCGGUCUCGCUCGGGCCGAGAUGAUCCUUGUCAUUUUGAUAAAACAACAAUUUUUAAUUUUUAAUUUUGUAAUUAGGGUUCGAAUUUGAGAGCGACAUAACUGGUUGUUUUUAUAUUUUUAUAAUAACAUAAGUGGUUAUUUGGAACA
Prunus avium (sweet cherry) is the source of this 1574-nucleotide non-coding RNA. The record is from RefSeq and is a predicted model, not a curated record. Lineage: Eukaryota; Viridiplantae; Streptophyta; Magnoliopsida; Rosales; Rosaceae.